RNAcentral lists this ribosomal RNA (201 nucleotides) under uncultured bacterium. RNAcentral describes it as "partial 16S ribosomal RNA". It matches the Rfam family "Bacterial small subunit ribosomal RNA", at positions 1300 to 1500 of the family's 1533-position model. The record is from RNAcentral.
GCAGGCUGAAACUCGCCUGUAUGAAGAUGGAGUUGCUAGUAAUCGCGAAUCAGAAUGUCGCGGUGAAUACGUUCCCGGGUCUUGUACACACCGCCCGUCACACCAUGGGAGCCGGUAAUACCCGAAGUCAGUAGUCCAACCUCGUGAGGACGCUGCCGAAGGUAGGAUUGGCGACGUGGGGUGAAGUCGUAACAAGGUAUC